GGAGAGGUGGUCGAGUGGUUGAAGGCACCCGCCUCGAAAGCGGGCGUACGUUGAUAGCGUACCGUGAGUUCGAAUCUCACCCUCUCCGCCA
Molecule: transfer RNA, 91 nt
Filed under: Candidatus Limnocylindrales bacterium
Lineage: Bacteria; Bacillati; Chloroflexota; Candidatus Limnocylindria; Candidatus Limnocylindrales
Also listed under: 2 other names
Description: tRNA-Ser
Rfam family: tRNA
About the family: Transfer RNA (tRNA) molecules are approximately 80 nucleotides in length. Their secondary structure includes four short double-helical elements and three loops (D, anti-codon, and T loops). Further hydrogen bonds mediate the characteristic L-shaped molecular structure. tRNAs have two regions of fundamental functional importance: the anti-codon, which is responsible for specific mRNA codon recognition, and the 3' end, to which the tRNAs corresponding amino acid is attached (by aminoacyl-tRNA synthetases). tRNAs cope with the degeneracy of the genetic code in two manners: having more than one tRNA (with a specific anti-codon) for a particular amino acid; and 'wobble' base-pairing, i.e. permitting non-standard base-pairing at the 3rd anti-codon position.
Source: RNAcentral